RNAcentral lists this ribosomal RNA (442 nucleotides) under uncultured bacterium. RNAcentral's name for it is "partial 16S ribosomal RNA". It matches the Rfam family "Bacterial small subunit ribosomal RNA", at positions 338 to 795 of the family's 1533-position model. The record is from RNAcentral.
CCUACGGGGGGCAGCAGUAGGGAAUCUUUCACAAUGGGCGAAAGCCUGAUGGAGCAACGCCGCGUGCAGGAUGAAGGCCUUCGGGUUGUAAACUGCUUUUAUAAGCGAGAAAUAUGAUGGUAACUUAUGAAUAAGGAUCGGCUAACGACGUGCCAGCAGCCGCGGUCAUACGUAGGAUCCGAGCAUUAUCCGGAGUGACUGGGUGUAAAGAGUUGCGUAGGUGGCAUAAUAAGUAGCUAGUGAAAUCUGGUGGCUCAACCAUUCAGACUAUUAGCGAAACUGUUAAGCUCGAGACCGUUAGGGGGAACUGGAAUUUCUAGUGUAGGAGUGAAAUCCGUAGAUAUUAGAAGGAACACCAAUAGCGUAGGCAGGUUGCUGGGACGGUUCUGACACUAAGGCACGAAAGCGUAGGGAGCAAACGGGAUUAGAGACCCUUGUAGUC